Molecule: long non-coding RNA, 236 nt
Filed under: Solanum melongena (eggplant)
Lineage: Eukaryota; Viridiplantae; Streptophyta; Magnoliopsida; Solanales; Solanaceae
Description: long non-coding RNA (SMEL_LNC000067)
Source: RNAcentral
UGACUCCAUGACAACUACCCAGACUACAACGAGUCAGCCUAAUAAAGCUAAUGAACGAGCAGCCUCCUCUACUGCCAGCGUUCAAAACUCAGCUUCCUCAUUCAAAAGAUUGGGCAGGAAAUCACCAUUUAUGAGAUAUGGACUUCCUAUGAUCUCACUAACAGUGCUUGGAUCUAUUGGUCUUAGCCAACUUCUGCAAGGCAGGUUAGUUAUACUUAAUGUCAAAUUACUCAACU